Alligator mississippiensis (American alligator) is the source of this 669-nucleotide long non-coding RNA. RefSeq lists it as uncharacterized. NCBI's taxonomy places the organism in Eukaryota, Metazoa, Chordata, Crocodylia, Alligatoridae. The transcript is spliced from 3 exons. The record is from RefSeq and is a predicted model, not a curated record.
UAACUUGAUUGUUCUGAACAGGAAUCAAAACUGGAAGCAAACAUUGUGCCUAAAGAGGCCUGCAGUACAGCAAUAUUUAAAGAAACAGUACCCUACAUAAUGACUAAUGCAUGCUAAUGCAUGUACAACACAAGAACCACUCACAGGAAGGAUCUCGCACCCUUUCUCACAGGGUAUAUUCCAACCACCUACAAAGUGUUCUCAGGACACCGGGGACCAGAAACCAUGCCUUCUACAAAUUGGCUUGUUCACAAAACACAACACAGUGUCCUGCAUCUACAAAAGGAGGGAAGAACCACUAUGCUGCCAUCAAACCUUUGUAAUUCCUAAUUGGUGAAAGAGCAACUUGAAACCUUUCUAAUAUUGAUUGCCAAUGCCUUGGAGGCUGCUGUAAUUACACCAGGGAUUUUCAAGGCCCUUUGGGAUAUAAGAACAUGUAAAGCACAGAGAAUGCUUUGCCCCUGACCUCUUUUCCUUAUCUCUACUCCAAAUUUAGGUCAUAACAUAGUUGGGCCAUUGCUGUUUAAACAGAACACCCAGAAAGGCGUGCAAGCCAGGGCAAGAAGCAGCACUGAAUAUAAUCAGAGAGAGCUAAUUAUGAAAGAACCCGUUUCCAUCUCGAGAGGACUGAGCCAGAGAUUCUGCCAAGAUGCGUGUCCCUGCAGGAAG